Aphis gossypii (cotton aphid) is the source of this 636-nucleotide long non-coding RNA. RefSeq lists it as uncharacterized. The transcript has 3 exons. The record is from RefSeq and is a predicted model, not a curated record. Lineage: Eukaryota; Metazoa; Arthropoda; Insecta; Hemiptera; Aphididae.
AUUAAUCUGCAAUUAACAAAAAUGUGAUUUAAUAAUAUUACGUCCUUUCUCAUCCUAAGUUUGCGGGUGACUGGGAAAAUGACAGUCAAGAGUUUAUCAAUCCUGAAUUUUGUUUACAAGCGUAAAAAUUAAAGUUAGAGACCCUUUAUUUAGUGUGAUACUUGGGCUCUUGAAGUUUGCCUAGUUAAUAACGUCACGGCUGGUUGUAGUACUCAGUGUCCAUAAGUAUGUUCUGAUUUUAUUUCAUAGAGGAUGCAUUUCAAGGCAAUAAUCAGGAAUUCAUGAUGGAAAAUAAGAACUUUUUUCCAAUCAACAAUCAACAUAUUAUUUACCAAAGAUGAAGGAGUCGUUGAACCCCCUAUUAUCAAAAAUAUAUAAAUUGUGUUUUCAUUUUUAAUCGAUUAUAUUAAAUAUUUUAUAAUCUUACUUAUAAUGAUAAAUUAUUUUGUACAUUUUAUUUCAAUCCCCUCCCAUUGUGAAAUCCAGCGCGCGACCCUAGCUGAAGUUAUAGGUGCCCAUAUAAUAUCAAGAAAAUAUUAUAUUUACUUAGGAAUUUAUUAUUAUCCUAAAUUUUUCUAUAGGUAUAAUAUUUAUAAAAUUGAAUUGUGUCCAAGUUGAAAUGCUUGAAUGCUUAUA